CUGGUGUAUAAAUAAAGGCAACAGUAGUAUACCGCUAUUCGAAAUUCAUAAAUCGAUUGAGAAAAAAACAAAUCCGGGUUACAAACGAAAACUGAGGGAAACGCAUCAAAUAUCAGAGGAGAACUACGACACAACAGAAACACAACAUUAAAAUGUAACACACAGAAACGAACUAUAAUUUAACAAGGGCCAUUUUCCUGACUUGGUAAAAGGGAUUUUAAGAAAAAAAUGUUUGUUGAACCUGGUUUUAUGGCAUGCCAAACCUCCCGCUUUUA
Molecule: long non-coding RNA, 275 nt
Filed under: Mytilus galloprovincialis (Mediterranean mussel)
Lineage: Eukaryota; Metazoa; Mollusca; Bivalvia; Mytilida; Mytilidae
Source: RNAcentral